ACUCAAAGGAAUUGACGGGGGCCCGCACAAGCAGCGGAGCAUGUGGUUUAAUUCGAUGCAACGCGAAGAACCUUACCAAGGCUUGACAUCCCGCUGAAAUAUACAGAGAUGUAUAUGGCCGCAAGGACAGCGGAGACAGGUGGUGCAUGGUUGUCGUCAGCUCGUGUCGUGAGAUGUUGGGUUAAGUCCCGCAACGAGCGCAACCCCUAUACUCAGUUACCAGCAAGUAAAGUUGGGGACUCUGGGGAGACUGCCGUGGAGAACACGGAGGAAGGUGGGGACGACGUCAAAUCAUCAUGCCCCUUACGUCUUGGGCUACACACGUGCUACAAUGGUUUGAAACAAAGGGAAGCGAAAGGGCAACCUGGAGCGGAACCCAAAAACCAAAUCUCAGUUCGGAUUGUGGGCUGCAACCCGCCCGCAUGAAGUUGGAGUUGCUAGUAAUCGCGAAUCAGCAUGUCGCGGUGAAUGCGUUCCCGGGCCUUGCACACACCGCCCGU
This 500-nucleotide ribosomal RNA is filed under the name uncultured bacterium. RNAcentral describes it as "bacterial SSU rRNA". It matches the Rfam family "Bacterial small subunit ribosomal RNA", at positions 899 to 1397 of the family's 1533-position model. The record is from RNAcentral.